UACGUAGGGGGCAAGCGUUGUCCGGAAUCAUUGGGCGUAAAGAGCGCGUAGGCGGUCCGGUAAGUCGGUUGUGAAAACUGGGGGGCUCAACCCUCAGAGGCCGACCGAUACUGUCGGGCUAGAGUCCGGAAGAGGCGAGUGGAAUUCCUGGUGUAGCGGUGAAAUGCGCAGAUAUCAGGAGGAACACCAAUGGCGAAGGCAGCUCGCUGGGACGGUACUGACGCUGAGGCGCGAAAGCGUGGGGAGCAAACAGG
RNAcentral lists this ribosomal RNA (254 nucleotides) under uncultured bacterium. Its description in RNAcentral is "partial 16S ribosomal RNA". It matches the Rfam family "Bacterial small subunit ribosomal RNA", at positions 524 to 776 of the family's 1533-position model. The record is from RNAcentral.